CAGUCGCCGCGGUAAUACGUAGGGUGCAAGCGUUGUCCGGAAUUAUUGGGCGUAAAGAGCUCGUAGGCGGUUUGCUACGUCGGAUGUGAAACCCUGAGGCUCAACCUCAGGCCUGCAUACGAUACGGGCUAACUAGAGUGUGGUAGGGGAGACUGGAAUUCCUGGUGUAGCGGUGAAAUGCGCAGAUAUCAGGAGGAACACCGGUGGCGAAGGCGGGUCUCUGGGCCAUUACUGACGCUGAGGAGCGAAAGCGUGGGGAGCAAACAGGAUUAGAUACCCGCGUAGUCCCUGUCUCUUAUAC
RNAcentral lists this ribosomal RNA (301 nucleotides) under uncultured bacterium. RNAcentral describes it as "partial 16S ribosomal RNA". It matches the Rfam family "Bacterial small subunit ribosomal RNA", at positions 509 to 807 of the family's 1533-position model. The record is from RNAcentral.